ACGGAGGAUCCGAGCGUUAUCCGGAAUCAUUGGGUUUAAAGGGUCCGUAGGCGGGCCAUUAAGUCAGGGGUGAAAGUCUGCGGCUCAACCGUAGAAUUGCCCUUGAUACUGGUGGUCUUGAGUUAUGGUGAAGUAACUAGAAUAUGUAGUGUAGCGGUGAAAUGCAUAGAUAUUACAUAGAAUACCGAUUGCGAAGGCAGGUUACUAACCAUAUACUGACGCUGAUGGACGAAAGCGUGGGGAGCGAACAGG
This 252-nucleotide ribosomal RNA is filed under the name uncultured bacterium. RNAcentral's name for it is "partial 16S ribosomal RNA". It matches the Rfam family "Bacterial small subunit ribosomal RNA", at positions 525 to 776 of the family's 1533-position model. The record is from RNAcentral.